CGGGACUGGUGAGUAACGCGUGAGUAACCGGGCUAUAAGAGGGGAAUAACAGUUAGAAAUGACUGCUAAUACCGCAUAAGCUGAUAAAGUCGCAUGAUUUAGUCAGAAAAGGAGCAAUCCGCUUAUAGAUGGGCUCGCGUCCGAUUAGCUAGUUGGUGGGGUAGAAGCCUACCAAGGCGACGAUCGGUAGCCGGACUGAGAGGUUGAACGGCCACAUUGGGACUGAGAUACGGCCCAGACUCCUACGGGAGGCAGCAG
This 258-nucleotide ribosomal RNA is filed under the name uncultured bacterium. RNAcentral describes it as "partial 16S ribosomal RNA". It matches the Rfam family "Bacterial small subunit ribosomal RNA", at positions 98 to 354 of the family's 1533-position model. The record is from RNAcentral.